This 5511-nucleotide long non-coding RNA is filed under the name Sus scrofa (pig). RNAcentral describes it as "lncRNA (ENSSSCG00000054556.1)". Lineage: Eukaryota; Metazoa; Chordata; Mammalia; Artiodactyla; Suidae. The record is from RNAcentral.
CAGGGAUUGAACCCACACCUCAUGGUUCCUAGUCAGAUUCAUUAACCACUGCACCACGACUGGAACUCCUCUAUUUAUUUUUAUUAAAAUAUAGCUGAGGAGUUUCCAUCACGGCACAGCAGAAACGAAUCUGACUAGUAUCCAUGGGAACACAGGUUUGAUCCCUGGCCUCCCUCAAAGGGUUAAGGAUCCAGCAUUACCAGGAGCUGUGGUGUAGGUUGCAGACACAGCUCGGAUCUGGUGUUGCUGUGGCUGUGACUAGGCCAGUGGCUGCAGCUCCAAUUCAGCCCCUAGCCCGGGAACCUCCAUAUGCUGCAGGUGCCUCCCUAAAAUAAAUAAAGAAAAAUAAAGUAUAGCUGAUUUACAAUGUCGUGCCAGUUUCUGUCAUACAACAAGGUGACUCAGUCAUACACAUAUAUACAUUCUUUUUUGUCUUUUUUUUUUUUUUAAUUUUUAGGGCCAUACCUGCGGCAUAUGGAGGUUCCCAGACUAGGGGACAAAUCAGAGCUGUAGCUGCCGGCCUACGUCACAGCCACAGCAAUGAGGGAUCCGAUCUACAUCAGCAAACUACACCACAGCUCAUGGCAAUGCCAGAUCCUUAACCUACUGAGCAAGGCUAGGCUUUGAACCUGUAUCCUCAUGAAUACUAGUUGGGUUCAUUAACCACUGAGCCACAGCAGGAACUCCUAUACAUUCUUUUUAAAAUAUUCUUUUCCAUUAUGGUUUAUCCAGGAGAUUGGAUAUGGUUCCCUGUUCUAUACAGUAGGACCUCAUUGCUUAUCCAUUCUAAAUGUGAUAGUUUGCAUCUACUAAUUCCAAACUCCCAGUCCAUCCCACUCCCUCUCUCCUCCCUUUGGCAACCACAAGUCUGUCUUUAUGUCUGUGAGUGUGUUUCUUUUUUGAGAUAGGUUCAUUUGUACUAUAUUUUAGAUUCCACAUUUAAGUGAUAUCAUGUAGUAUUUGUCUUUCUCUUCCUCACUUCACUUAGUAUGAGAAUCUCUAGUUGUAUUUAUGUUGCUACAAUGACACUAUUUAAUUUUUUUAUGGCCGGGUAGUAUUCCAUUGUAUAUAUGCACCAGUUCUUCUUUAUCAAUUCAUCUGUCAGUGGACAUUUAAAUUUUUCCCAUGUCUUAGCUAUUACGAAUAAAGCUAUUAUGAAUAGUGCUGCUAUGAAUAUAGAGGUGCAUAUUAUCUUUUUGAGUUAUUUUGUCUGCAUAUAUUCAAGAGUGAAAUUGCUGGAUCAUAAGGUAAUUCUAGUUUUGGUUUUUUUGAGGAAACUCCCUACUAUUUUCUACAGUGGUUGUACCAACUUACAUUCCCACCAACAGUGUGUGUAGGAGGGUUCCCUUUUCUCCACACCCUCUCCAGCAUUUGUUAUUUGUACACCUUUUUAUAAUGGCCAUUCUGACCAGUGUGAAGUGGUACCUUAUUACAUUUCUCUAAUAAUUAGAGCAUUUCUCUAAUAAUUAGAGCAUCUUUUCAUAUGCCUACUGGCCAAUAUAUGUCUUCUUUGGAGAAAUGUCUACUUAGGUCUUCUGCUUAUUUUUCAAUUGGGUUGUGUUUUUUUGUUGUUGAGUUGCAUGAGUUGUUUGUAUAUUUUGGAGAUUAAUACCUUGUUGGUUGCAUCAUUUGAAGAUAUUUUCUCCCAUUCCAUAAGUUGUCUUUGUGUGUGUGUGUGUGUGUGUGUGUGUGUUUAAAUGAUUUCCUUUGCUGUGCAAAAGCUUAUAAAUUUGAUUAGGUCCAAUUUGCUUAUUUAUUUAUUUUUUAAUUUCUAGUGCCUUGAGAGACUGACCUAAGAAAACAUUGAUAUGAUUUAUGUCAAUGUUUUGCCUAUGUUCUCUUUUAGGAGUUUUUUGGGGACUUAUCUUAUGCCUAAGUCUUUAAGGUAUUUUGAGUUUAUUUUUGUGUGUGGUGCAAGGGUAUGUUCUAAUUUCAUUGACUUAUAUGUAGCUGUCCAAGUUUCCCAACUUAAUUCUCUGAAGAGACGGUCUUUUUUCCAUUUUAUAUUCUUGUCUCCUUCACCAUGAUUAAUUGUCCUUAGAUAUGUGGGUUUAUUUCUGAGCUCUCUAUUCUCUUCCAUUUAUCCAUAUGUCUGUUUCUGUACCAAUACCACACUGUUUUGAUUACUGUGACUUUGUAGUACUGUCUAAAGUCUGGGAGAGUUAUGUCUCAUGCUUUAUUCCCUACCUCCAGAUUUUCUUUGGCAAUUCUGGGUCUUUUAUGGUGCCUUAUAAAUUUUUGGAUGCUUUUUUCUAGUUCUCUGAAAAAUGUCAUGGGUAAUUUGAUAAAGAUCAUUUUAAAUCUGUAGAUUGCUUUGAGUGGUAUUGCCAUUUUAACAAUAUUAAUUCUUCUAAUCCAUGAGCAUGGGCUAUCUCUCCAUUUAAUUAAAUCAUUUUCAGUUUCCUUUAUUAAUGUUUUAUAGUUCUUAGUGUAUAAGUCUUUCACCUCCUUGGUCAGGUUUAUUCCUAGGUUUUUUUUUUUUUUUUUUUUUUGGUGUGAUUUUAAAAGGUAUUGUUUUUAAUGUUCUUUUUCUGAUAUUUCAUAGUUAGUAUACAGAAAUUCAACAGAUUUCUGAAUGUUCAUAUUGUAUCCUGCUACUUUGCUGAAUUUAUCAGUUUGAGUAGUUUUUGUGUGGAGUCUUUAUGGUUUUCUACAUAUAGUAUCAUGUCAUCUGUAUGUAGUGUCAGUUUUACCUCUUCCCUUCCAAUUUGGAUUCCUUUUAUUUCUUUUUCUUGUCUGAUUGCCAUGGCUAGGACUUCCAUAUUAUAUUGAUUAGCAGUGAGAGUGGGCAUCCUUAUCUUAUUUCAGAUUUUAGUGAGAAGACUUUCAGCUUUUCUCUGUUGUGUAUUAUAGUUGUGGGUUUGUCAAAAAUGGCUUUUAUUAUGUUGAGAUAUUUUCCCUCCAUACCCACUUUGGUAAGAGGUUUUUUUUUUUUUUUUUAUCAUGAAUGGAUGUUGGAUUUUGUCGAAUGCUUUUUCUGCAUCUAUUGAGAUGAUCAUGUGGUUUUUGCCUUUCUUUUGUUAUGUGGUGUAUGACAUUGAUUGACUCGUGUCUAUUGAACCAUCCUGUGAACUUGGGAUGAAUCUCACUUGGUCGUAGUGUAUGAUCUUUUUUAUGUGUUGCUGGAUUCAGUUUGCUAAUAUUUUGUUGAGAAUUUUAAGCAGCGUCCUCUCUUUAAGUAUCAGUUUUCCCACCUGCAUAAUGCAGUUUUCUCACUGCAGUGUGGGUGCCUGGCUCAUAGUAAGUGAGGAAACAGAAGAGAAAUUCUCAGGUCAGUGAAGGGCAAAACCAGGAUUGAACCUCGCCCUACCUUCACUGGUCUCAGAAGCUGGGCUCUUAACCCCUAAGCUGUAAUGGAGCCAAAUGUGAAAAUGUAUAGGGUUACUUGUCUUGUUUGAACUCAGAUAAGAAGUAACUUUUUAGUAAUGCAAGCAAAUGAAACCAUAAAGGAAAAUGUACAGAUUUAACCACAUGAAUUUUUUAAACUUUUUAUAUAAAACACACUUUUAGAGGUUAAGAGGUUAAUAACAAACUAAGCAGAACAUUUGCAACAUUCUAAGAAUAUUAAAAAGUUAAGUGAUAGAGUUCCCACUGUGGCUUACUGGGUUAAGAACCUGACAUAGUGUCCGUGAAGAUGUGGGUUUGAUCCUUGGCCUUUCUCAGUAGGUUAAGGAUACACUGCUGUGGCUGUUGUGUAGGCCAGAAGCUGCAGCUCCAAUUUGACCCCAAGCAUGGGAACUUCUAUAUGCUGUAGGUGAAGCCCGUGGUUCAGUGGUUAAUGAAACAGACUAGCAUUCACGAGGAUGUGGGUUCAAUCCCUGGCCUUGCUUGGUGGGUUGAGGAUCUGGCAUUGCCAUGAGCUGUGGUGUAGGUCCCAGUUGCAACUCAGAUCCUGCACUGCUGUGGCUCUGGCAUAGGCCAGUGGCUGUGGCUCCAACUUGACACCUAGCCUGGGAACCUCCAUAUGUUGUGAGUGUGGCCCUAAAGACAAAAAAGAAAAAAAAAAAAAAAAAGAAAGAAAGAAAAGAAAAAAGGCAAGUGUUUAAAAAGAUGAGUAUUCAGUUUUUAAAAAGACAAACUAGAACACUGUAAACCAGCUAUGAUGGAAAAAAUAAAAAUAAAAAUUAUUUAAAAAUAAAGUUGAAAGAAAAAAUAAAAAGACAAAAUAGGUUCACUGAAAAUCUACAAAAUAAGAAGUACAAAUGAGCAAUAAACAUGUAGGAAAAUAUUCUAGGACUUCCCGUCAUGGCUCAGUGGUUAAUGAACCCGACUAGUUUCAGUGAGGACAUGGGUUCGAUCCUUGGCCUCACUCAGUGGGUUAAGGAUCUGGUGUUGCUGUGGCUGUGGUGUAGGCUGGCAGCUACUGCUCUGAUUUGACCCCUAGCCUGGAACUUCCAUUAUGUCCCAAACGUGCCCCCCCCCAAAAAAAAGACAAAAUAAAAGUAGGAAAAUAUUCUAAGAGAUAAAAAUUAUUAUGAAUAGUUUCUAGGCUGAGAGAAUGUCCACCCUCCUGGGCUUUAUCCUCCAGGCUCCCAGCCUGCCAUGAGCCAGGGAUGUGAGGCUUUUCAGCAUCCCCCCCAGGGGCCUCCAUCCCCUUCCCUGCUUUCCUCAGGACUCAUCAGGCUCCUGGUGUUCCCACAUCUCACUUUCCAGCUACUAGACUGUGGCUCUGCUGAGGCCUGAAGCUGAAUCACGGUGGGUUGUGUGAGGCUGAUGCCUGGGGUCAUUCAGCUGGUGAGUGAGCCUGCCUGAUGCUAACAUCCCAGGUGGCUGCACUUCACUGCUUCAUGCUCAUUUUAAGUCAUUCUCAUAAAGCAGUGAAAAACUGUUUCUUCAUGCAAAGGGAUCAAGAAAGAAAGAAAACAGCAUGAAGCUGAAAAGGAAGUCAAAGUGUGGAAGUCAAAGUGUGGAGUUUUGUUCUUGGCCGGAAGGAAGAAAAAGCUUGGGUAUAAAGCAUACCAUCGUGCAGCAGCCAUAGGAAUAGUCACAAACAGAAUAUUCUAGAAGGCUUCUGGACUCAUCCCUUUGGCAAGUUCAGGAGUCUGGGGCAUUGCCCUUCCCUGAAGGCAUUUCCUUCAGGAUUCUGUCUUUCACCCGCCUUGCUUCUCUUCACCACAAGGGCAACCCCCCAGCACUGCCUCUGAGAAGCCCGCUCUGUAGACGGCAGAGGGGGCAGGACAUCUUCGGUGCUCUUCACACCGUAUCGCCCAGCGUCACCUGGAGGUGGCCAGCAUGGACGGGUGAGCCAGACUCUCGGGGCUCAGUUCCAGCCCUGCUGCUUGCCAGCUGUGUGGUCUGGCCCCCAUUGCUCCACUUCUGUGUCUCAGUUUCUUCAUCUGCAAAAUGAGGGUAAACACAGCACCACCUCAGAGGAAUGUCUAAGCCUUAAAUGACUGAACAGAUGUGCAGCGCUUGGAUGGGGUCUGACACAGGGGAAGCACGGUGCUGUCACUCUCCUAGGAAAAUUGCCAUGCUUUAUUGUGGUUACCUGUUUAUAUGCAGUGCAAGAUU